GUUAGAGGUAUUGGCAGAAACGUCUCAGAGCGGGCUCAACCUUAAUCUAUAUUGGUACUAUCACUCACAAGCAAUAUUGAAAUCACAUAGGAGGCAAUAUAUAGGCCAUUAUCUGCCCUUUGCUAUAGAUAUCCAUGACUAGUAUACAUAGUUACAUAGCUGAAAAGAGACUUGCAUUCUUCAAGUUCAGCCUUCCUCACAUAUGUUUUUCCU
This is a non-coding RNA of Pelobates cultripes (western spadefoot toad), 213 nucleotides long. NCBI's taxonomy places the organism in Eukaryota, Metazoa, Chordata, Amphibia, Anura, Pelobatidae. The record is from the annotation of a GenBank genome assembly.